Paramuricea clavata is the source of this 888-nucleotide non-coding RNA. The record is from the annotation of a GenBank genome assembly. Lineage: Eukaryota; Metazoa; Cnidaria; Anthozoa; Malacalcyonacea; Plexauridae.
CCCAGCAGCCUUUCGCGCUCGUAUUCGACUUUAAUUUCCGCUUCGCUCGGGGGACAACCUUAAUUGAAAUAGCUGUAUAAGAUAUCUAUGGUUGACAUGUAAUGCAUUGCCACGUGCAUGUCUCGUAUUGUUAAUGGUAAAAGGAGUGAAAACGAAAUUGGCAUCUUCAGUGCUGCCAAGAAAAUUUUAACAAAAUGUCUUCGCCGACUUUUCUUAGAGCUUGUAGUAAAUUUUAGUCAUCUUAUAUACUGGAAUGCCAUAUAAAUUACUUAUUGUUUGAACCAUAGUUAAUAGAGGACAAAUUCCAAUAAAGCUUUUUGCAAGUCAAGAUGAAAUUUGUCACAGCAAAAGAUAAGUGAUAUACGAGUCAACUUCUAGCAAGUCUAUAUUCUCUGCAGGCGUCUUUAUGGGUUUUACGCUGCGAACCACCCAUUACGCCCUAAAUACAUUGCAUUAUGCAAUAUAUUGCGUUGUAUUUAAUAUAAGUUAUCACUAUAUUAUCUUGGGCCAGCCAAGUAUUUUUUUCAACACUAACCGCAUGCUUAUGUACUAUUUAAAGCACGCGUAGGAGUGUUUUAUCACAUAUAAAACACGACGCGUAGCGGAGUUUCCUCCUGAAUUAUUAAUGAGUUUUUGAAAUAUAUAUAUGGUGGUAGGUAUAUAUGUAUAAGUACACGAUGGCCCUAAUAAGGCAAGUGCAAAAAUGUCACAGCUUGUCAAGAUGAGAAGAUGUGUUCGCACUGCUUUUUCAAUAAAACAACCUUGUAUAAUCACCGAUGUAGUUAUACUUGUUAAAUAAUAAAUAUUUUUAAUUUGGUUGUAUCUCGCUCAAUAUUGGAAGUUAGUCCUUUCUGAAUGAAAUGAUCUUUAUGCCAAUGGACCUUUCCC